UAGGGAAUCUUCGGCAAUGGACGAAAGUCUGACCGAGCAACGCCGCGUGAGUGAAGAAGGUUUUCGGAUCGUAAAACUCUGUUGUUAGAGAAGAACAAGGACGUUAGUAACUGAACGUCCCCUGACGGUAUCUAACCAGAAAGCCACGGCUAACUACGUGCCAGCAGCCGCGGUAAUACGUAGGUGGCAAGCGUUGUCCGGAUUUAUUGGGCGUAAAGCGAGCGCAGGCGGUUUCUUAAGUCUGAUGUGAAAGCCCCCGGCUCAACCGGGGAGGGUCAUUGGAAACUGGGAGACUUGAGUGCAGAAGAGGAGAGUGGAAUUCCAUGUGUAGCAGUGAAAUGCGUAGAUAUAUGGAGGAACACCAGUGGCGAAGGCGGCUCUCUGGUCUGUAACUGACGCUGAGGCUCGAAAGCGUGGGGAGCAAACAGG
RNAcentral lists this ribosomal RNA (429 nucleotides) under Chloroflexota bacterium. RNAcentral's name for it is "Chloroflexi bacterium partial 16S ribosomal RNA". It matches the Rfam family "Bacterial small subunit ribosomal RNA", at positions 355 to 776 of the family's 1533-position model. The record is from RNAcentral. Lineage: Bacteria; Bacillati; Chloroflexota. RNAcentral also lists the same sequence under 1 other name.